UACGUAGGGUGCGAGCGUUAAUCGGAUUUACUGGGCGUAAAGCGUGCGCAGGCGGCCCGUUAAGACAGGUGUGAAAUCCCUGGGCUCAACCUAGGAAUUGCGCUUGUGACUGGCGGGCUCGAGUACGGUAGAGGGGGGUGGAAUUCCUGGUGUAGCAGUGAAAUGCGUAGAGAUCAGGAGGAACACCGGUGGCGAAGGCAGCCCCCUGGGCCUGUACUGACGCUCAGGCACGAAAGCGUGGGGAGCAAACAGG
Molecule: ribosomal RNA, 253 nt
Filed under: uncultured microorganism
Description: partial 16S ribosomal RNA
Rfam family: Bacterial small subunit ribosomal RNA
Source: RNAcentral